Molecule: ribosomal RNA, 629 nt
Filed under: uncultured bacterium
Lineage: Bacteria
Description: bacterial SSU rRNA
Rfam family: Bacterial small subunit ribosomal RNA
Source: RNAcentral
UUGGGCGUAAGAGCUUGUAGGCGGUUUGUCGCGUCUGCCGUGAAAGCCCGGGGCUUAACCCUGGGUCUGCGGUGGGUACGGGCAGGCUAGAGUGUGGUAGGGGAGACUGGAAUUCCUGGUGUAGCGGUGAAAUGCGCAGAUAUCAGGAGGAACACCGAUGGCGAAGGCAGGUCUCUGGGCCACUACUGACGCUGAGAAGCGAAAGCAUGGGGAGCGAACAGGAUUAGAUACCCUGGUAGUCCAUGCCGUAAACGUUGGGCGCUAGGUGUGGGACUCAUUCCACGAGUUCCGUGCCGUAGCUAACGCAUUAAGCGCCCCGCCUGGGGAGUACGGCCGCAAGGCUAAAACUCAAAGGAAUUGACGGGGGCCCGCACAAGCGGCGGAGCAUGCGGAUUAAUUCGAUGCAACGCGAAGAACCUUACCAAGGCUUGACAUACACCGGAAUGUGCCAGAGAUGGUGCAGCCUUUGGGCUGGUGUACAGGUGGUGCAUGGUUGUCGUCAGCUCGUGUCGUGAGAUGUUGGGUUAAGUCCCGCAACGAGCGCAACCCUCGUUCCAUGUUGCCAGCACUUCGGGUGGGGACUCAUGGGAGACUGCCGGGGUCAACUCGGAGGAAGGUGGGGAUGACGU